RNAcentral lists this non-coding RNA (21 nucleotides) under Arabidopsis thaliana (thale cress). Lineage: Eukaryota; Viridiplantae; Streptophyta; Magnoliopsida; Brassicales; Brassicaceae. The record is from RNAcentral.
UUUACUGGUGAUUGACAUGCU